UAAUACAGAGGGUGCAAGCGUUGUUCGGAAUUAUUGGGCGUAAAGCGCGUGUAGGCGGCUAAGUAAGUCGGGUGUGAAAGCCCUCAGCUCAACUGAGGAAGUGCGCCCGAAACUACUUGGCUUGAGUGCCGGAGAGGAUGGCGGAAUACCCCAAGUAGAGGUGAAAUUCGUAGAUAUGGGGUGGAACACCGGUGGCGAAGGCGGCCAUCUGGACGGUAACUGACGCUGAGACGCGAAAGCGUGGGUAGCAAACAGGAUUAGAUACCCUGGUAGUCCACGCCGUAAACGAUGAGAACUAGGUGUCGUGGGUGUUGACCCCCGCGGUGCCGUAGCCAACGCAUUAAGUUCUCCGCCUGGGAAGUACGGUCGCAAGACUA
Molecule: ribosomal RNA, 377 nt
Filed under: uncultured bacterium
Lineage: Bacteria
Description: bacterial SSU rRNA
Rfam family: Bacterial small subunit ribosomal RNA
Source: RNAcentral